Molecule: long non-coding RNA, 1261 nt
Organism: Gallus gallus (chicken)
Lineage: Eukaryota; Metazoa; Chordata; Aves; Galliformes; Phasianidae
Source: Ensembl
CAGGGCUUGCUGCUGCACAAUUACGCAAGCAGAUCCUUUUGAAAACAACUUUUAAGAAGGAAAUGGGGAGCUUACAGCGAACAAAUGAGAACAGUGCUUAUUGUAACUGUGUGCCUAGCACUGACUUUUCAGCCUGAUCAUGUAAUUUUGGCUGCCCUAAGGUGUAACUGCAGGACAGUAAAGUGAAAAAAAAAAGUCUUUUGCCAUGUUCAUAGAGCUGCCUUACAGAAUCUCUGCCGCUGUGUGACAGCCCCUGCUGCUGCCGUCUGCAGCCGGAGACAUCCUUUAGGAGGAAGUGGGAGUUUCUCUUAUGCAGGAGUGGCAGCACUGUGCUCUUAAAAUUGCUUGCCGUCUGGGUAAGGAAAUAUGUCCUUUGUAGGUCACUGGUCAAACUGUCACAUCUGUGUGCUCAAACAUCGAGGCUGAAAGCCUGCUGUGGCAGUGGGAGGCUGUGCAGGGGCAGGGUCCAGGUGCAAGGUCAGGGUCCAAGUUUGGGAAAUACCUCCAUUAUUGACUCACUGUGUUACGGAUACGUUCUGCACGUUCACAGGGAAAGGAUAGGACAUGGAGAGCUUUCGGCUCUUCUCCUGUCCUCCCCUCUCCACUCUGUUUUUAGUUUUGGUGUUUUCACCUGUUCAACACAAGUGCACAAAAGCUGACUGAAAAUAACUGUGCGUGCUGAAUCUGACACUACUCAAAUUGGCGAUAAAAGCACUGAGCUCUGUGGCUGAGUUCAAAGCUUUGCAUCAGUGGUUGGAGACAGCAGAAGGCAGGCUGCAGCCUGCAGCCACAGGGAGUCGUGCCCUGGAGAUGGGGACACAGCUCAUACCUCAUCAUCGUGGCCAGUGGGCAGUCAGCAGCUCAGCCUGGCCGCAUGGUCUCCAAAGCUGGGAAGGCAAACCGCAGCAAGCAGCUGGGCAAGCAGAAAAUACAACACAGCAAGGCUUCUUUUGACCUCCUUCUCACUCGCAUGCAAAGCUGCCUUUACCAGAAAAGUCCCUGGGACAGCGCUUCUUUGGCAGUAUUCUCUGAAUUCCUUGACAUACAACUGAAGUGCUGAGAAUACUACAAUAGUCAUUCAUCACAGUACAAAAGAAGCCAAGUCCAAGUCGUUACAGAAUGUAUCCAGCAGUUGCACUGGUACUGUUUUCACAAGUACAACAAAAAUAUUUCUCGCUGAAAGACAGCAGCAUAGACUGACUAAUAUCAGGUGUGCAAAAUAAAAAAUAAUAAUAAAAAUAAUUAAAAAGAGUAUAACUUG